This 504-nucleotide ribosomal RNA is filed under the name uncultured bacterium. RNAcentral describes it as "bacterial SSU rRNA". It matches the Rfam family "Bacterial small subunit ribosomal RNA", at positions 32 to 507 of the family's 1533-position model. The record is from RNAcentral.
AACGCUGGCGGCGUGCCUAAUACAUGCAAGUCGAACGGUCUUUUCUAUGGAAGCUUGCUUCCACUGAGAAGAUAGUGGCGAACGGGUGAGUAACACGUGGGUAACCUACCCAUAAGAGGGGGAUAACAUCCGGAAACGGGUGCUAAUACCGCAUAGUUUUCUUGAUCGCAUGAUCGGGAAAGGAAAGACGGCCUUUGUGCUGUCGCUUAUGGAUGGACCCGCGGCGUAUUAGUUAGUUGGUGAGGUAACGGCUCACCAAGACGAUGAUACGUAGCCGACCUGAGAGGGUGAUCGGCCACAUUGGGACUGAGACACGGCCCAAACUCCUACGGGAGGCAGCAGUAGGGAAUCUUCCGCAAUGGGACGAAAGUCUGACGGAGCAACGCCGCGUGAGUGAAGAAGGUUUUCGGAUCGUAAAAACUCUGUUGUCAGAGAAGAACAAGUUGGAGAGUAACUGCUCCAGCCUUGACGGUAUCUGACCAGAAAGCCACGGCUAACUACGUG